Molecule: ribosomal RNA, 728 nt
Filed under: uncultured eukaryote
Lineage: Eukaryota
Description: SSU rRNA
Rfam family: Eukaryotic small subunit ribosomal RNA
Source: RNAcentral
CGCGUGUACUGGUCCGGCCGGGCCUUUCCCUCUGUGGAACCCCAUGCCCUUCACUGGGUGUGGCGGGGAAACAGGACUUUUACUGUGAAAAAAUUAGAGUGCUCCAGGCAGGCCUAUGCUCGAAUACAUUAGCAUGGAAUAAUAGAAUAGGACGUGUGGUUCUAUUUUGUUGGUUUCUAGGACCGCCGUAAUGAUUAAUAGGGACAGUCGGGGGCAUCAGUAUUCAAUUGUCAGAGGUGAAAUUCUUGGAUUUAUUGAAGACUAACUACUGCGAAAGCAUUUGCCAAGGAUGUUUUCAUUAAUCAGGAACGAAAGUUAGGGGAUCGAAGACGAUCAGAUACCGUCGUAGUCUUAACCAUAAACUAUGCCGACUAGGGAUCGGACGGUGUUAUAUUUUGACCCGUUCGGCACCUUACGAGAAAUCAAAGUGCUUGGGCUCCAGGGGGAGUAUGGUCGCAAGGCUGAAACUUAAAGAAAUUGACGGAAGGGCACCACCAGGGGUGGAGCCUGCGGCUUAAUUUGACUCAACACGGGGAAACUCACCAGGUCCAGACACAAUGAGGAUUGACAGAUUGAGAGCUCUUUCUUGAUUUUGUGGGUGGUGGUGCAUGGCCGUUCUUAGUUGGUGGAGUGAUUUGUCUGCUUAAUUGCGAUAACGAACGAGACCUUAACCUGCUAAAUAGCCCGUAUUGCUUUGGCAGUACGCUGGCUUCUAGAGGGACUAUCGG